GCAUAUCAAUAAGCGGAGGAAAAGAAACCAACAGGGAUUGCCCCAGUAACGGCGAGUGAAGCGGCAAGAGCUCAAAUUUGAAAUCUGGCCUCCCCUGGGGGCCCGAGUUGUAAUUUGCAGAGGAUGCUUCGGGUGCGGCCGCCGUCUAAGUUCCUUGGAACAGGACGUCAGAGAGGGUGAGAAUCCCGUCUUGGGCGGGCGGUCCGCGCCCGUGUGAAGCUCCUUCGACGAGUCGAGUUGUUUGGGAAUGCAGCUCUAAGCGGGUGGUAAAUUUCAUCUAAAGCUAAAUAUUGGCCGGAGACCGAUAGCGCACAAGUAGAGUGAUCGAAAGGUUAAAAGCACCUUGAAAAGGGAGUUAAACAGCACGUGAAAUUGUUGAAAGGGAAGCGCUUGCGGCCAGACUCGGGGGCGGGGUUCAGCGGGUGCUCGUCGCCCGUGUAUUCCUCGUUUCCCGGGCCAGCAUCAGUUUCGACGGCCGGUCAAAGGCCCCCGGAAUGUGUCGUCUCUCGGGACGUCUUAUAGCCGGGGGUGCAAUGCGGCCCGUCGGGACUGAGGAACGCGCUCCGGCUCGGAUGCUGGCGUAAUGGCCGUAAGCGGCCCGUCUUGAAACACGGACC
RNAcentral lists this ribosomal RNA (617 nucleotides) under Trichophyton interdigitale. Its description in RNAcentral is "LSU rRNA". It matches the Rfam family "Eukaryotic large subunit ribosomal RNA", at positions 38 to 667 of the family's 3401-position model. The record is from RNAcentral. Lineage: Eukaryota; Fungi; Ascomycota; Eurotiomycetes; Onygenales; Arthrodermataceae. RNAcentral also lists the same sequence under 1 other name.